This 433-nucleotide ribosomal RNA is filed under the name uncultured bacterium. RNAcentral's name for it is "partial 16S ribosomal RNA". It matches the Rfam family "Bacterial small subunit ribosomal RNA", at positions 29 to 507 of the family's 1533-position model. The record is from RNAcentral.
AACGAACGCUGGCGGCAUGCCUAACACAUGCAAGUCGAACGAGACCUUCGGGUCUAGGGGCGCACGGGUGCGUAACGCGUGGGAACCUGCCCUUAGGUUCGGAAUAACUCCCCGAAAGGGGUGCUAAUACCGGAUAAUGUCUUCGGACCAAAGAUUUAUCGCCUUUGGAUGGGCCCGCGUGGGAUUAGCUAGUUGGUAGGGUAAAAGCCUACCAAGGCGACGAUCCAUAGCUGGUCUGAGAGGAUGAUCAGCCACACUGGGACUGAGACACGGCCCAGACUCCUACGGGAGGCAGCAGUGGGGAAUAUUGGACAAUGGGCGAAAGCCUGAUCCAGCACUGCCGCGUGAGUGCUGAAGGCCUUAGGGUUGUAAAGCUCUUUUACCCGGGAUGAUAAUGACAGUACCGGGAGAAUAAGCUCCGGCUAACUCCGUG